Molecule: non-coding RNA, 1268 nt
Organism: Lactuca sativa (garden lettuce)
Lineage: Eukaryota; Viridiplantae; Streptophyta; Magnoliopsida; Asterales; Asteraceae
Source: RefSeq, a predicted model, not a curated record
UGACAAAAUGUUAUCUCCUGUGGAUAAGAGCACAUCACUCUAUAGUGAUAUUACUGUGAUUUACUACAGGCAUCUUGACUUUUAAGAAUCCCCCUCCAUGAACUCGCUGCAUAUUCUUCAUUUCUCUCCUAUCUUCCUUCUCCACCACCAUCAUUAGAUAACUAGAGCACCACCGCCGAAUCGUUGCCCUCUAGAACCAUGACCUUGCCUUACCUCACCAACUUGCACUUUUGGAUUUGAUUUUUUCGGUUGUGAACAGAUCGGGAAAGAAUCGACUAUAUAACAUCUCACAGACCUUCACCCAUUCUCCUCUUCUACUACAUUGUUAGGAGCCAAAGAGGUCUUGCAUUUACUGCUAACCCAGGUAAACCAAAUAUGUGAAAACCCCAGCCAAAGGAAAAUAUCAAUUUGUUCAUCAUUUUUGCUUAACAAGACUUUUAGCUGUUUUGGUUGAUAAUUUACUUUCCGUACUUAGAAGAUGAUGUAGAUAUGGAUUUCAUAUUCAUCUCGAAUCCAUGAAGAUUAAAGUUCAAGAAGUUAAAAUCUAUGAAAAAGAAAGAAUAUUGGAGUAGUGUGCUUCUAAUCAGGGAACCGGUGGUACAGAUAAACCCUAAAUAUAACUGGGCACAUUUACGCAUCGGCUACCAGUACCACUAUUUCUUCUCUUCUUUUCACAGUGCACUUUCCUUUUUCAUAGAUCACUUUAUUUUUCUUUCUACAAUCUAACUAACACCUGAACAGCUUAUUUCCAAUAUUUCUCAUAUCGAUAUCGUUUAUUCUGACAUCCAAUGGCCCAAGAACUUACCACUCACCACCGUCAUCAUGAACUUCGCCACAUUCAAGCACCAUUUUUUUGACCCUUUUUUUCUAAUCUUUCUCUACAUAAGCUUUAAUUUCAUUUAACAAGUAUCAUGUGCAGGUACAUGAAGAAUCAUAAAUCAAAACUUAAAAUUGUAAUGUGAAAUUAGGGGAAAGAGGAUCUACGUUGAUCAUUGAUCAAGUUCAGAUUAGUUAUGUUGAGUGGUUCAUGAUCCAGGCGAUCUAUGAUGAAAACGACAUCUUAAAAUAAAUUUGAUAACAAUUUUUAUAUAAAGAUCAGCGGAAUAAUCUGAUGAUACAAGACUUAAACAUCUCCCAAAGAAAUUAUCAUUUUUAGCCUAUCUUAAUUAGCUUAAGAAAAAGACCAAUUAUCAUUUUUAGCCUAUCUUGAUUAGCUUAAGACAAAAGACCUGUUGUUGUAGUUUUAUGAUAAUAUGCUAUUUUCUUUC